RNAcentral lists this ribosomal RNA (500 nucleotides) under uncultured bacterium. Its description in RNAcentral is "bacterial SSU rRNA". It matches the Rfam family "Bacterial small subunit ribosomal RNA", at positions 28 to 509 of the family's 1533-position model. The record is from RNAcentral.
GAUGAACGCUGGCGGCGUGCCUAAUACAUGCAAGUCGAGCGAAUGGAUUAAGAGCUUGCUCUUAUGAAGUUAGCGGCGGACGGGUGAGUAACACGUGGGUAACCUGCCCAUAAGACUGGGAUAACUCCGGGAAACCGGGGCUAAUACUGGAUAACAUUUUGAACUGCAUGGUUCGAAAUUGAAAGGCGGCUUCGGCUGUCACUUAUGGAUGGACCCGCGUCGCAUUAGCUAGUUGGUGAGGUAACGGCUCACCAAGGCAACGAUGCGUAGCCGACCUGAGAGGGUGAUCGGCCACACUGGGACUGAGACACGGCCCAGACUCCUACGGGAGGCAGCAGUAGGGAAUCUUCCGCAAUGGACGAAAGUCUGACGGAGCAACGCCGCGUGAGUGAUGAAGGCUUUCGGGUCGUAAACUCUGUUGUUAGGGAAGAACAAGUGCUAGUUGAAUAAGCUGGCACCUUGACGGUACCUAACCAGAAAGUCACGGCUAACUACGUGCC